GAUGAACGCUGGCGGCGCGCCUAACACAUGCAAGUCGAACGAUUAAAGCACCUUCGGGUGUGUAUAAAGUGGCGAACGGCUGAGUAACACGUGGGCAACCUGCCCCUUUCAUUGGGAUAGCCACGGGAAACCGUGGAUAAUACCGAAUACUUCGAGACUUCCGCAUGGAAGACUCGAGAAAGCUCCGGCGGAGAGGGAUGGGCCCGCGGCCUGUUAGCUUGUUGGUGGGGUAACGGCCUACCAAGGCAAUGAUGGGUAGCUGGGUUGAGAGACCGACCAGCCAGAUUGGGACUGAGACACGGCCCAGACUCCUACGGGAGGUAGCAGUGGGGAAUCUUGCACAAUGGGCGAAAGCCUGAUGCAGCGACGCCGCGUGCGGGAUGAAGGCCUUCGGGUUGUAAACCGCUUUCAGCAGGGACGAGGCGAAAGUGACGGUACCUGCAGAAGAAGCCCCGGCUAACUACGUG
Molecule: ribosomal RNA, 467 nt
Filed under: uncultured bacterium
Lineage: Bacteria
Description: partial 16S ribosomal RNA
Rfam family: Bacterial small subunit ribosomal RNA
Source: RNAcentral